AUGGAGCAAUCAAAAAUUAUAGAUACGUUGGAGACGUAUCACAUAUCACAUCACAACAUGCCCUGCAAAAACAAGUUAGACGUCAUCUAUUUUGCUGUUGCAAGUUUUACAUGGCUGCAACGGGCUUCUAGCAAGAACCGUUCUUACCUACGCAUCAAAACCACAAUAGUGAUUUAUCAAGUUUGUUGUUUUAUCCUUCAACAAGGACUGGCGGCAGUCAAAUUCGAUUCAACUAAAGUAGGAGAAAUAGACACCCGCCAGCCACCUUUAUGCAAAACUAGUUGCAUGUCUGUCGGUGGAACCGGUCUCAUGAACGUGGUCAUGUAA
This 327-nucleotide ribosomal RNA is filed under the name Triticum aestivum (bread wheat). RNAcentral's name for it is "partial small subunit ribosomal RNA". The record is from RNAcentral. Lineage: Eukaryota; Viridiplantae; Streptophyta; Magnoliopsida; Poales; Poaceae.